AUUGAACGCUGGCGGCAUGCCUUACACAUGCAAGUCGAACGGCAGCACGGGUGCUUGCACCUGGUGGCGAGUGGCGAACGGGUGAGUAAUACAUCGGAACAUGUCCUGUAGUGGGGGGUAGCCCGGCGAAAGCCGGAUUAAUACCGCAUACGAUCUACGGAUGACAGCGGGGGACCUUCGGGCCUCGCGCUAUAGGGUUGGCCGAUGGCUGAUUAGCUAGUUGGUGGGGUAAAGGCCUACCAAGGCGACGAUCAGUAGCUGGUCUGAGAGGACGACCAGCGACACUGGGACUGAGACAGGGCCCAGACGCCUACGGGAGGCAGCAGUGGGGAAUUUUGGACAAUGGGCGAAAGCCUGAUCCAGCAAUGCCGCGUGUGUGAAGAAGGCCUUCGGGUUGUAAAGCACUUUUGUCCGGAAAGAAAUCCUUGGCCCUAAUACGGUCGGGGGAUGACGGUACCGGAAGAAUAAGCACCGGCUAACUACGUG
RNAcentral lists this ribosomal RNA (486 nucleotides) under uncultured bacterium. RNAcentral describes it as "partial 16S ribosomal RNA". It matches the Rfam family "Bacterial small subunit ribosomal RNA", at positions 29 to 507 of the family's 1533-position model. The record is from RNAcentral.